This 274-nucleotide ribosomal RNA is filed under the name uncultured bacterium. Its description in RNAcentral is "partial 16S ribosomal RNA". It matches the Rfam family "Bacterial small subunit ribosomal RNA", at positions 523 to 796 of the family's 1533-position model. The record is from RNAcentral.
AUACGGAUGGUGCGAGCGUUGUUCGGAAUUACUGGGCGUAAAGGGCGCGUAGGCGGCGAUGUAAGUCAAAUGUGAAAGUCCUCGGCUUAACCGGGGAAGUGCAUCUGAAACUGCAUUGCUUGAGUAUGGGAGAGGAAAGUGGAAUUCCCGGUGUAGAGGUGAAAUUCGUAGAGAUCGGGAGGAAUACCGGUGGCGAAGGCGACUUUCUGGACCAAUACUGACGCUGAGGCGCGAAAGCGUGGGGAGCAAACAGGAUUAGAAACCCUUGUAGUCC